CCAGGUGGCUAUGGUGGUGGCCCGGGCAGUGCUGGGGGACUUGGAGGGCCUGGAAUUGGUGGGCUUGGUUAUGGUUAUGGUCCUGGCGCGGUAAAACCACCUAAAAGCUAUGGAGGAACUGGAACAUUAGGUGGGGCUGGAAGAGGAGGUGUUGGUGGAGGUCCUGGAGGUCUUGGUGGUGGUUUAGGAGCAGGACCAGGAGGUGUUGGUGGAGGUCCUGGAGGAGUUGGAGGG
Carassius carassius (crucian carp) is the source of this 234-nucleotide long non-coding RNA. RefSeq lists it as uncharacterized. Lineage: Eukaryota; Metazoa; Chordata; Actinopteri; Cypriniformes; Cyprinidae. The transcript has 3 exons. The record is from RefSeq and is a predicted model, not a curated record.